RNAcentral lists this long non-coding RNA (953 nucleotides) under Mus spicilegus (steppe mouse). RNAcentral describes it as "lncRNA (ENSMSIG00000023345.1)". The record is from RNAcentral. Lineage: Eukaryota; Metazoa; Chordata; Mammalia; Rodentia; Muridae.
UCUCAGAUAGAAUUUAGAAGUCACUAGUUUCCUAGAUUUCUCAGAAUCCAUUGUUUCUCCUGAAAAUUCUUUCUCGAAAUCUUCUAUUUUAGAAUUUUCAUAUUAGAGUUGAUUAUUUGAGAAGAAAUUACACCCCGAAGUCUAUAGAUUGGAUGCUACAGCAGUUAUUCUUCCAUUUAAACGCAGCUUUAUUGAGUUCCAGGUGAAGCUUCAAACUGACGCCCAAUUGCAAGGCACCGUGUAGUGUUACUUUUACGAGCUGGAUUUGGGUGCUAAGUUGCAAAGUAUCCAAGGAUUUUCAGCUUUAGAGGUGAUUGAUUAUUUAGCAAGGAAUUGUACUUGAUCUGGUGUGGUCCAACGUGCAGCCAUGAGAAGUUAUCUAUGGUCAAGGGAGAUAGUAGCUGAUGACUCUGAGCUACCCGAGACUCUGUAAGCCUUUGCAACGGAAGAGAACCAUAACCAUCAGCACAAGGAACACUCACGACAAUCGUGUGAGAUGCCCGGAAGAAUAAGCUUAGUUUAAUUGUAGUCACAUUGGAUGGACUAGGAGCCAGAGAAAACUGGCUUAACACAUGUAGCAUGACCAAGAUAACUCCAUUGUCACACAUUUGACUCAUACACCAUGUCAGAAACUUCUUGGAUCCUCACUUUGCUCGUCCAUCAUUUUGGAUGUUUCUCUUUAAUGAAUGAUCUUCUUGACUGCAUGGGGAAGGAGAAAGGACAUCUCUUCAGAUUGUUCAUCAUGAUAUGAAGAUGAAACUUAAUAGCAAUAACCAAUGGAUGCUUUUCUUGGAUUCAGUCCAACACUCUGGAGACCAGGUAAAAAUAAUUUACAAGUUUUUAUAAAAGUAUAUAUUGCCUUUCCAAUGGAAUUUUAAAAUCAAGCUGGACUUACAUGCUCCUUCAAGAACUGUAUUUGUGUUAAAUGCUGUGCACAUGGAUUUAGAAGCAUA